GACAGGGUAGCUCAGUCAGGUGUAGAGCAACGCAAAAUUGGCGAAGGUCGGUGGUUCAAAUCCAUCCCCUGUCG
Molecule: transfer RNA, 74 nt
Filed under: Parasutterella muris
Lineage: Bacteria; Pseudomonadati; Pseudomonadota; Betaproteobacteria; Burkholderiales; Sutterellaceae
Rfam family: tRNA
About the family: Transfer RNA (tRNA) molecules are approximately 80 nucleotides in length. Their secondary structure includes four short double-helical elements and three loops (D, anti-codon, and T loops).
Source: Rfam by way of RNAcentral